AGUAGGUGGCUCAGCCACGCUGGGCGCAGUAGGCUGCCCCGCCCCGCGCCACCGCGCCCCACGCCCGAAUGAGAAAACUGAGGCUCUGAGAGAGGAAGUGACUUACCUACGGUCACGCAGGUCAGUCUGUAGGAGGAACAAGGACAAGCCUGGGAUAAAGGCCGGUGGGCGUCCAGUAGCCAGGAGGGAUCAGCCAAAAGGGGGCAGUACCUGGACAGUGACGAGGGAUGGAUCCCCGCCUGUCCAGCCGUCAGGGUAACUGGUUACCUGGCAGUUAUACACGGAAUGCACCAGACAUCCAAGCAGACGCCCGGCCAAAGGGAGGCAGAACUCCACACGAUGGCUGGGGAACAGUAUCAUGCAGGAGCCCAAGCACAGACCACCUUUCUAGGCUUGAGAGACAGUCUGGGCGGCUGGACUGGACUCUGCAAUAGCAGUGAGGUCGGGAGGCGACCGGGGCGUCAUGCAGAGUCUCGCAGGCCAGGCAGCCAGGGCCCAGUAUUUGAGGUUAUGCGCUGAGACGAGGGCAUGGUGAUCUCUGACUGAUAUGUUUGAAAACAGCCUCUGUACACACGAAAGAAUUAACAGUAGGGUCUCCAAGAGACGUGUGCACACUCGUGUUCAGAGCAGCAUUAUUCACGGUAGCCAAGAGGCAGAAGCCAGCCAGUGUGCGUGAGCAGAGGAACGGGUUAGUAUAUAUGCUGUGUCCAGACAGUGGGUUCAGGCUUAAAAAGGAAGGAAAGGGGCGCCUGGGUGGCUCGGUCGGUUAAGCGUCCGACUUCGGCUCAGGGCAUGAUCUCAUGGUCCGUGAGUUUGAGCCCCACGUCGGGCUGUGUGCUGACAGCUCAGAGCCUGGAGCCUGUUUCAGAUUCUGUGUCUCCCUCUCUCUCUGCCCCUCCCCUGUUCAUGCUCUGUCUC
Long non-coding RNA from Acinonyx jubatus (cheetah), 918 nucleotides. RefSeq lists it as uncharacterized. The record is from RefSeq and is a predicted model, not a curated record. NCBI's taxonomy places the organism in Eukaryota, Metazoa, Chordata, Mammalia, Carnivora, Felidae. The transcript has 2 exons.